Molecule: non-coding RNA, 460 nt
Organism: Hydra vulgaris (swiftwater hydra)
Lineage: Eukaryota; Metazoa; Cnidaria; Hydrozoa; Anthoathecata; Hydridae
Source: RefSeq, a predicted model, not a curated record
AUCCAUAACAUGGGUUCCUAUCAAGUGAACUUGAUAUUAAACAUAAAUUGCGCAUUCUAACACCUAGUGUAAUACUGUCCUCUGUCUCUAUACCAACCUUCUAACUGGACUUCUAACUUUCUCUCUAACAUCCUUCAUACUUCUAAAAAUCACUUACCUUUGGUCUGCAAAGGGGUUAUGAUGCUAUUUAAUGAGCUGAACUGGUUUUUAUGGGCCUAGGUAUGCAGUGUCUAUAUAAGGUAGCUUUUUGGAGGAGGAUAAACCACAUGGAGGAUAAACGCAUGGAAAGAAGAUUCAUGUCUUAGUUUCAGUUUUAACCCAACCUUGAAUUUUAAAUGUACCUGCAUCUAAAUCUUCCAUUGCUAUGCUAGACGAUUACAUAGAUAUUUUCAAAGUUCCCUGGAAAAGCUGCCGGCUGAAAUCAUUGGUUUACUACACAAGAAUGCUCCUCUUUUGCCAC